Molecule: ribosomal RNA, 253 nt
Filed under: uncultured bacterium
Lineage: Bacteria
Description: partial 16S ribosomal RNA
Rfam family: Bacterial small subunit ribosomal RNA
Source: RNAcentral
UACGUAGGGGGCAAGCGUUGUCCGGAAUCAUUGGGCGUAAGGCGCGUGUAGGCGGCCCGGUAAGUCCGCUGUGAAAGUCGGGGGCUCAACCCUCGAAUGCCGGUGGAUACUGUCGGGCUAGAGUGCGGGAGAGGCGAGUGGAAUUCCUGGUGUAGCGGUGAAAUGCGCAGAUAUCAGGAGGAACACCAAUUGCGAAGGCAGCUCGCUGGGACGUUACUGACGCUGAUGCGCGAAAGCGUGGGGAGCAAACAGG